GUGACUCAUGUUCAACGGCCGCGGUAUCCUAACCGUGCGAAGGUAGCGUAAUCACUUGUUCUUUAAAUGGGGACUAGUAUGAAUGGCACCACGAGGGUUAUACUGUCUCCCUUUUUUAAUCAGUGAAACUAACCCCCCCGUGAAGAAGCGGGGAUAUAAAUAUAAGACGAGAAGACCCUAUGGAGCUUUAAAUUUCAAUUCAAAUGCUAUUUAACCCUAAAAGUUUCAACUUUCCCCCCCCCCCAAACUUAGCAUAAUGAAAUAGAAUUUUAGGUUGGGGUGACCGCGGAGCACAAAACAACCUCCACAUUGAACUAGGCCUAUCACCUUGAGCAAUGAACUACAAUCCUAUGCACAAAAAAAUUUC
This 367-nucleotide ribosomal RNA is filed under the name Scinax nebulosus group sp. ABGD cluster 31. RNAcentral describes it as "partial large subunit ribosomal RNA". It matches the Rfam family "Bacterial large subunit ribosomal RNA", at positions 1913 to 2408 of the family's 2925-position model. Lineage: Eukaryota; Metazoa; Chordata; Amphibia; Anura; Hylidae. The record is from RNAcentral.